This is a long non-coding RNA of Rhipicephalus microplus (southern cattle tick), 237 nucleotides long. RefSeq lists it as uncharacterized. NCBI's taxonomy places the organism in Eukaryota, Metazoa, Arthropoda, Arachnida, Ixodida, Ixodidae. The record is from RefSeq and is a predicted model, not a curated record.
AUUUUAACUCUAUGCCAUGGCCCAUGAGAACACAACUGUCGCACGAAAAGGAGGACGCAAACAUCAGCGAAGCGAGGCUAGCUAGAAGCUUGCAUGGGGCGUGGAUCCUUGGACACUUAAGAAAAAAAAAAAGCCUGCAUGGAGCAACUUGAAUCUCCGUAUCUGCUGCCUUCAAGCUGUCAAUUGCUAGCCACGUCUUUUUGAAAUAAUAAAAAGACAGCUAUGCCCUUUCUAUAA